GGGCUGAAGAUUUUGAAAAGGAGAGACACAGAAUUAUAUUUUAGAGAUCAUAACUUGACAGCCUUUUGCUAAAGCAGUUGGAGGAGUUGCAACAGUGAAGCCAGCUGACAUUACUCUCUACCAAGAGAGGAGAAGGAAGGACCAAAAUGUCUUUAGAUUUAUUUAUCUAUUUUCGUGGUACUGAGAAUUAAACCCAGAGCCUGUGCAUGCUAGACAAGUGCUUUACUACUGAGUUUACCUCAAUCCUUUCUAUUUUUGAUUUUGAGACAUGGUUUCAUUGAGUUGUUGAGGCCAUCUUCAAACUUGUAAUCUUCCUGCCUCAGCCUCCCAAGUUGCUGGGAUUACAGGAGUGAUUACAGGUGUCCACUGCACCCAAUUUUAUCUUUAUUUUUUGCAGGAUUAGGGAUUGAAACUAGGGCCUCGCCAGGAUAGGCAAGUGUUUUACCACUAAGCUGCAUCCCCAGCCCUUCUGUGGGUUAAUUUUUAAAUUAAGUUUUAUUUGAAAAAUAUUUGAAAAUAUGUAUACAUAUUUUUAAAAAACUAAUGCUAUUUUUUAAAUACUAGAAAGCAGAAAUAAAUAAAUAAGAUUAUAUCUUCCUCUCUUCCUAAUCCAUUCCCUGAGGAAAUCACUGAGUGAGUUUGAUUCAGUAAUGUUUCAAAAUAUACUUGUUUAUAAGAGACAGUGGCUGAAUUUUUCAGAAUUGUGCAUGUCAGUUAACACUGCUUUAAUUAAAAAUUCAAUGACAUAAAUUUACAACUAAAUAAAUUAUAUUAAGGCAAAGGUGAUAAAUACUAAAAACUCAUCACUUCCUGAUCAUUUUAGUAUAUUUUGCUUUUAUCUCUUGAGGCCAUUUUCAUGUAUAGGAUCUGUACGGUGAAAAUGCUAUCUAUUGAGGUGCACAUCUCUUCCCAACUGUGUUCAGUGAUGUCACAUUUGAAACUCCAUUGCUGGGAAUAGCACACAACGGAAAUAGGUGAACAUUACAAAUCAGUGCUGUUUUGUUCUGGGGAGCUUUGUUAAACAUUUACCAGCAUGCCCCUGGUGCAUAGCCUUGCCAACUGUCCCCUUUUUUAUGCCUGUAAGUAUAUG
RNAcentral lists this long non-coding RNA (1090 nucleotides) under Marmota monax (woodchuck). Lineage: Eukaryota; Metazoa; Chordata; Mammalia; Rodentia; Sciuridae. The record is from RNAcentral.